RNAcentral lists this ribosomal RNA (429 nucleotides) under uncultured bacterium. RNAcentral describes it as "bacterial SSU rRNA". It matches the Rfam family "Bacterial small subunit ribosomal RNA", at positions 355 to 776 of the family's 1533-position model. The record is from RNAcentral.
UGGGGAAUUUUGCGCAAUGGGCUAACGCCUGACGCAGCAACGCCGCGUGGAGGAUGAAGGUCCUUGGAUUGUAAACUCCUGUCAGCAGGGAAAAAGGGACUCGACCUCAUACGUCGGGAACUUGAUUGUACCUGCAGAGGAAGCCCCGGCUAACUCUGUGCCAGCAGCCGCGGUAAUACAGAGGGGGCAAGCGUUAUUCGGAAUUAUUGGGCGUAAAGGGCGCGUAGGCGGCCUAGCAAGCGACGGGUGAAAUCCCUCGGCUUAACCGAGGAACUGCCUGUCGAACUGCAUGGCUUGAGACCGGGAGAGGUGAGUGGAAUUCCCAGUGUAGCGGUGAAAUGCGUAGAUAUUGGGAGGAACACCAGUGGCGAAGGCGGCUCACUGGACCGGUACUGACGCUGAUGCGCGAAAGCGUGGGGAGCAAACAGG